CCAUAGCCCGUACCCUAAACCGACACAGGUGGACUGGCAGAGUAUGCUAAGGCGCUUGAGAGAACUGUAUUGAAGGAACUAGGCAAAUUGCCCUCGUAACUUCGGAAGAAGAGGGCCCGAUUCUUACGCAAGUAGGAGUCGGGGGCACAUAGCAGGGGGUGGCGACUGUUUACUAAAAACACAGGACGCUGCGAAAUCCAAAGAUGACGUAUAGCGUCUGACACCUGCCCGGUGCUGGAAGGUUAAGAGGAGAUGUGAAAGCGUUGAAUCGAAGCCCCAGUAAACGGCGGCCGUAACCAUAACGGUCCUAAGGUAGCGAAAUUCCUUGUCGGGUAAGUUCCGACCUGCACGAAAGGCGUAACGACUUCCCCACUGUCUCCAAUACAGGCUCAGCGAAAUUGAAUUCCCCGUGAAGAUGCGGGGUUCCCGCGGUCAGACGGAAAGACCCCGUGCACCUUUACUGCAACUUUACACUGGCAUUAGGAAUGGGAUGUGUAGAAUAGGUGGUAGGCAUUGAAGCCGAGGCGCUAGCCUUGGUGGAGCCGAAAUGUGAAAUACCACCCUUCUUGUUCCUGAUGUCUAACCGCGGUCCCGAAACGGGAUCCGAGACAGUGUAUGGUAGGCAGUUUGACUGGGGCGGUCGCCUCCCAAAGAGUAGCGGAGGCGCGCGAUGGUAGGCUCAAUCCGGUCGGAAAUCGGAUGGUGAGUGCAAUGGCAAAAGCCUGCCUGACUGCAAGGUCGACGGACCAAGCAGAGACGAAAGUCGGUCAUAGUGAUCCGGUGAUCCCGCAUGGAAGGGUCAUCGCUCAACGGAUAAAAGGUACGCCGGGGAUAACAGGCUGAUCGCACCCAAGCGUCCAUAGCGACGGUGCGGUUUGGCACCUCGAUGUCGGCUCAUCACAUCCUGGGGCUGUAGCCGGUCCCAAGGGUAUGGCUGUUCGCCAUUUAAAGUGGUACGUGAGCUGGGUUUAGAACGUCGUGAGACAGUUCGGUCCCUAUCUGCCGUGGGUGUUCGAAACUUGAGAAGACUUUUUCCUAGUACGAGAGGACCGGAAAGAACGUAUCUCUGGUGGAUCGGUUGUCACGCCAGUGGCAUAGCCGAGUAGCUAAAUACGGACGAGAUAACCGCUGAAAGCGUCUAAGCGGGAAACUCACUUCAAAACUAGGUUUCGCUUGAGAGCCGGGGAAGACUACCCCGUCGAUAGGCCAGGUGUGUAAGCGCAGCAAUGCGUUGAGCUUACUGGUACUAAUUGCUU
This 1256-nucleotide ribosomal RNA is filed under the name metagenome. Its description in RNAcentral is "bacterial LSU rRNA". It matches the Rfam family "Bacterial large subunit ribosomal RNA", at positions 1635 to 2910 of the family's 2925-position model. The record is from RNAcentral.